Molecule: ribosomal RNA, 492 nt
Filed under: uncultured bacterium
Lineage: Bacteria
Description: partial 16S ribosomal RNA
Rfam family: Bacterial small subunit ribosomal RNA
Source: RNAcentral
AGUGAACGCUGGCGGUAGGCCUAACACAUGCAAGUCGAACGGCAGCACAGUAAGAGCUUGCUCUUACGGGUGGCGAGUGGCGGACGGGUGAGGAAUACAUCGGAAUCUACUUUUUCGUGGGGGAUAACGUAGGGAAACUUACGCUAAUACCGCAUACGACCUACGGGUGAAAGCAGGGGAUCUUCGGACCUUGCGCGAUUGAAUGAGCCGAUGUCGGAUUAGCUAGUUGGCGGGGUAAAGGCCCACCAAGGCGACGAUCCGUAGCUGGUCUGAGAGGAUGAACAGCCAGACUGGAACUGAGGAACGGUCCAGACUCCUGCGGGGGGCAGCAGUGGGGAAUAUUGGACAAUGGGCGCAAGCCUGAUCCAGCCAUACCGCGUGGGUGAAGAAGGCCUUCGGGUUGUAAAGCCCUUUUGGUGGGAAAGAAAAACAGCAGGUUAAUACCCCGCUGUUCUGACGGUACCCAAAGAAUAAGCACCGGCUAACUUCGUG